Molecule: ribosomal RNA, 370 nt
Filed under: uncultured cyanobacterium
Lineage: Bacteria; Bacillati; Cyanobacteriota
Description: bacterial SSU rRNA
Rfam family: Bacterial small subunit ribosomal RNA
Source: RNAcentral
CGAAAGCCUGACGGAGCAAUACCGCGUGAGGGAGGAAGGCUCUUGGGUUGUAAACCUCUUUUCUCAGGGAAGAAGCACUGACGGUACCUGAGGAAUCAGCAUCGGCUAACUCCGUGCCAGCAGCCGCGGUAAUACGGAGGAUGCAAGCGUUAUCCGGAAUCAUUGGGCGUAAAGCGUCCGCAGGUGGCCGUUCAAGUCUGCUGUCAAAACCCACAGCUUAACUGUGGAAAGGCAGUGGAAACUGAACAGCUAGAGUGCGGUAGGGGUAGAGGGAAUUCCCGGUGUAGCGGUGAAAUGCGUAGAGAUCGGGAAGAACACCAGUGGCGAAAGCGCUCUGCUGGACCUGCACUGACACUCAGGGACGAAAGCU